UUGAAAGGGAAACGAUUGAAGUCAGUCGUACCAGCGGGAAAUCAACCUUUCGAGUGGGGUUUUGGAGUUUUUUGAAGAGUGUCAAAACCUUUGAGAUUUCAAAAUAUUCGCUCUUUUGGUGUACUUUCUCGUGGGUAGGUUAACAUCGAUUUUGAUCAUCAUAAAAAGAUUGGAGGAAUGUAGCUUCGACCUUGUAUUGAAGUAUUAUAGCCUUUGGUAAAUGUGAUGAUUAGGAUCGAGGAUUGCAACGAAUACCCUUUUGGGCUAUCCGCCUGAUCUCUGAUACGUGGCCUUGGCAUCGAAAGCUUGCUUAUGGUAUUAAGGUAUUACGGUCAAAAGGUUAGAACGGAUUACAUUCGUUAAGGAUGUUGACGUA
This 376-nucleotide ribosomal RNA is filed under the name uncultured Glomeromycotina. RNAcentral describes it as "LSU rRNA". The record is from RNAcentral. Lineage: Eukaryota; Fungi; Glomeromycota.